RNAcentral lists this ribosomal RNA (513 nucleotides) under uncultured bacterium. RNAcentral's name for it is "partial 16S ribosomal RNA". It matches the Rfam family "Bacterial small subunit ribosomal RNA", at positions 28 to 523 of the family's 1533-position model. The record is from RNAcentral.
GACGAACGCUGGCGGCAUGCCUAAUACAUGCAAGUCGAGCGAACAGAUGAAGUGCUUGCACUUCUGACGUUAGCGGCGAACGGGUGAGUAACACGUAAGGAAUCUACCUAUAAGCGGGGGAUAACAUUCGGAAACGGGUGCUAAUACCGCAUAAUAUCUUCUUCCGCAUGGAAGAAGAUUGAAAGACGGCUCUGCUGUCACUUAUAGAUGACCUUGCGGUGCAUUAGUUAGUUGGUGGGGUAACGGCCUACCAAGACGAUGAUGCAUAGCCGACUGGAGUGGGUGAUCGGCCACAUUGGGCCUGAGACACGGCCCAACCUCCUACGGGAGUCAGCAGUAGGGAAUCUUCCGCAAAGGGCGAAAGCCUGACGGAGCAAUGCCGCGUGAGUGAAGAAGGCCUUCGGGUCGUAAAACUCUGUUAUAAGAGAAGAACAAAUUGUAGAGUAACUGCUACAGUCUUGACGGUAUCUUAUCAGAAAGCCACGGCUAACUACGUGCCAGCAGCCGCCGUAA